RNAcentral lists this ribosomal RNA (601 nucleotides) under uncultured Pseudomonadota bacterium. Its description in RNAcentral is "bacterial SSU rRNA". It matches the Rfam family "Bacterial small subunit ribosomal RNA", at positions 304 to 896 of the family's 1533-position model. The record is from RNAcentral. Lineage: Bacteria; Pseudomonadati; Pseudomonadota.
UCAGCCACACUGGAACUGAGACACGGUCCAGACUCUUACGGGAGGCAGCAGUGGGGAAUUUUGGACAAUGGGGGCAACCCUGAUCCAGCCAUUCCGCGUGAGUGAAGAAGGCCUUCGGGUUGUAAAGCUCUUUCGGACGGAACGAAAUGGUUACGGACAAUACCCGUGACUGAUGACGGUACCGUAAGAAGAAGCACCGGCUAACUACGUGCCAGCAGCCGCGGUAAUACGUAGGGUGCGAGCGUUAAUCGGAAUUACUGGGCGUAAAGCGUGCGCAGGCGGCGGCUCAAGUCAGGUGUGAAAUCCCCGGGCUUAACCUGGGAAUUGCGCUUGAAACUAGGCCGCUAGAGUGUGGCAGAGGGGGGUGGAAUUCCACGUGUAGCAGUGAAAUGCGUAGAGAUGUGGAGGAACACCGAUGGCGAAGGCAGCCCCCUGGGUCAACACUGACGCUCAGGCACGAAAGCGUGGGGAGCAAACAGGAUUAGAUACCCUGGUAGUCCACGCCCUAAACGAUGCGAACUAGGUGUUGGGGAAGGAGACUUCCUUAGUACCACAGCUAACGCGUGAAGUUCGCCGCCUGGGGAGUACGGUCGCAAGAUUA